UGCAGUCGAGCGAGGCCAGUUUGUAGCAAUACGAGCUGAGUCGAGCGGCGCAAGGGGCAGUAAUGCAUGGGUAACGUACCUCCGGGUCGCGGAUAGCCAUGGGAAACUAUGGGUAAUACGCGAUAAAGCUGAGAAGCCAAAGGCUUGCCGCCCGGAGAGCGGCUCAUGUCGUAUUAGCUAGUUGGUGGGGUAACGGCCCACCAAGGCGAAGAUGCGUAGCGGGUGUGAGAGCACGACCCGCGCCACUGGCACUGAGACACUGGCCAGACACCUACGGGUGGCUGCAGUCGAGGAUCUUCGGCAAUGAGCGCAAGCUUGACCGAGCGACGCCGCGUGGAGGAUGAAGGCCUUCGGGUUGUAAACUCCUUUUGUGGGGGAGGAAAUUUCUGACCUAUCCCAUGAAUAAGCACGGGCUAAGUUCGUGCCAGCAGCCGCGGUAAGACGAACCAUGCGAACGUUGUUCGGAAUCACUGGGCUUAAAGGGCGCGUAGGUGGCUAGCCAAGUCGGGGGUGAAAUCUUUCGGCUCAACCGGAAAAUUGCCCCCGAUACUGGAAGGCUCGGGGGAGAUAGAGGCGACGGGAACUACCAGUGGAGCGGUGAAAUGCGUUGAUAUUGGUAGGAACGCCAGAGCCGAAGGGGCGUCGCUGGAUCUCUUCUGACACUGAGGCGCGAAAGCCAGGGGAGCAAACGGGAUUAGAUACCCCGGUAGUCCUGGCCCUAAACGAUGAGAACUAGAUGGUGGACCGGACACGGGCUCACCGUCGAAGCAAAAGUGCUAAGUUCUCCGCCUGGGGAGUAUGGUCGCAAGGCUGAACUCAAGGAAUUGACGGGGGCUCACACAAGCGGUGGAGCAUGUGGCUCAAUUCGAGGCUACGCGAAGACCUUAUCCUGGACUUGACAUGUGCGCAAGCGUUGGGGACGUAGCUGGCUAAUGAACCAGCGAC
Molecule: ribosomal RNA, 945 nt
Filed under: uncultured Planctomycetia bacterium
Lineage: Bacteria; Pseudomonadati; Planctomycetota; Planctomycetia
Description: bacterial SSU rRNA
Rfam family: Bacterial small subunit ribosomal RNA
Source: RNAcentral